GGCGCCAUAGCCAAGUGGUUACGGCGACAGAUUAGAAAUCUGUUGGGCUUUGCCCGCGUAGGUUCGAAUCCUGCUGGCGUCG
This 82-nucleotide transfer RNA is filed under the name Heterobasidion irregulare TC 32-1. It matches the Rfam family "tRNA". Rfam says of the family: Transfer RNA (tRNA) molecules are approximately 80 nucleotides in length. Lineage: Eukaryota; Fungi; Basidiomycota; Agaricomycetes; Russulales; Bondarzewiaceae. The record is from Rfam by way of RNAcentral.